This 253-nucleotide ribosomal RNA is filed under the name uncultured bacterium. RNAcentral describes it as "partial 16S ribosomal RNA". It matches the Rfam family "Bacterial small subunit ribosomal RNA", at positions 524 to 776 of the family's 1533-position model. The record is from RNAcentral.
UACGGGGGGGGCAAGCGUUGUUCGGAAUUACUGGGCGUAAAGGGCUCGUAGGCGGCCAACUAAGUCAGACGUGAAAUCCCUCGGCUUAACCGGGGAACUGCGUCUGAUACUGGAUGGCUAGAGUGUGGGAGAGGGAUGCGGAAUUCCAGGUGUAGCGGUGAAAUGCGUAGAUAUCUGGAGGAACACCGGUGGCGAAGGCGGCAUCCUGGACCGGUAUUGACACUGAGGCGCGAAAGCCAGGGGAGCAAACGGG